This is a long non-coding RNA of Dendronephthya gigantea, 740 nucleotides long. RefSeq lists it as uncharacterized. The transcript is spliced from 4 exons. Lineage: Eukaryota; Metazoa; Cnidaria; Anthozoa; Malacalcyonacea; Nephtheidae. The record is from RefSeq and is a predicted model, not a curated record.
UGAAGCAAAUUCUUCAUCACAAAACAUAUACGGACAGUGAAAUUCAUUCAAGUCACCUCUUGGUAGAAGUUUUACAUUUCUUUUCAUUUAAACAACUGUGACCAUGUUACGCCAAUUUGCAUACCUAUUAUUCCUGGUUUUUCUCUUUGCCACGAACAGUGUAAAAGCUGAUGACUACAAUGAUAAAGUUAUAAUUAUAAUAUCAGUGGCUGCCGUCUUGCUUGGAUUAUCCGUCAUUUUACUCAUUCUCGCAGGUUGCGGGAUUUAUGCUUUGAGAUACAAGGAAAGAAAAUAAAAGCAUAAUUUGGAACGAAAGAAAGACAGUCGAAGACAAUCGUUAAUUAAUAAAUUUGCGUAGAAUAACAAGCAUUCUAUGGCGGAACUAAAUUUAUCCACUUUAAAAAACAUAAUCUUGUUAAACUUUCAUACGACAUUAUACUGUUAGGAACCGUUAGUUUAGUUUCAUACUGCAAUUGUCAGCAUGUAGUAUAUUUGUGUUCAAUAAUCACUAUUCAUCAGUUUCAUUGAUCUACGAAGUCAUCCGUGAUUUUCAACGGUGGAAAAUGAAGCAUCUGUUAUAUUUUUGGUAAGCAGUAAAAUGCCACACCAUAAAUAGGCGAACAGUGCAGGUAGUAAAUGGGGAGUUGGGCUAUCAGUUAGAGACACUGAGUCAUUCGCGCAGAUCCCCGGACAUUUGUACCGUUUACAGUAUGCUUGAUGUUGUCAGUUGUAUUGUUCCA